Non-coding RNA from Taeniopygia guttata (zebra finch), 572 nucleotides. The record is from RefSeq and is a predicted model, not a curated record. NCBI's taxonomy places the organism in Eukaryota, Metazoa, Chordata, Aves, Passeriformes, Estrildidae.
GGACGACCUUCCCCAGCUCUGUUCCCUUCUCUGGACACGCUCCAGCACCUUUAUUGUCGUGAUGGGCCCAAAAAUAAGCACGGAAUUGAGAUGCUCCAUCAGUGCCCAGCACAAGACUUUUAGCACCAACAAGGCUGAGUGGAUACUUAAGGAUGACUGAAAAUUCUGCUGAAUCUAUAAAUGUGGUUAGAAUUCAAACACAAAAUUCUAGUACUAAUCCUUUGUGUCAGAAUCAAAUAUGAACCCACACAGACAGCAGAGCACUCAUGUUUGAUUACAAAAUGGAGUCAUAUUGUGAGGAUCAAUGGACUGAUGAGCACAGAGUUCCAGACCACCUCACAGAUAACAAAGCAUUUACAUUCUGUCCCACCCCUACACAACUUACUUGGCUGUGCUGGUGCGGCAUCGCAACUUCCACCUGCCCUAAAUUCUAGUUCAGCGGUAAAAGCCUAAGAGGAGAAAAAAAGUACCCAAGAUAGCAGUUCACAACUGCCAAUUGAUGACCAUUUCCUGGGAAGAAUUAUAUGUCUUGAGCAAGGAGAAAAGAAGACUCCUCCACUGAUCCCUUUCAG